AGUUGUAUCCUGGCUCAGGAUGAACGCUAGCGGUAUGCCUAACACAUGCAAGUCGUACGAGGGUUUCAUACCCAAGUGGCGGACGGGUGAGUAACACGUGAGAAUUUGCCCUAAGGAGGGGGAUAACAACUGGAAACGGUUGCUAAAACCCCAUAUGCUUCCGAGUGAAAUAGAUUUAUCUGCCUUAGGAGAAGCUCGCGGCUGAUUAGCUAGUUGGUAAGGUAAUGGCUUACCAAGGCGACGAUCAGUAUCUGGUUUGAGAGGACGAUCAGACACACUGGAACUGAGACACGGUCCAGACUCCUACGGGAGGCAGCAGUGGGGAAUUUUCCGCAAUGGGCGAAAGCCUGACGGAGCAAUACCGCGUGAAGGAAGACGGCCUAUGGGUUGUAAACUUCUUUUUUCAGGGAGGAACUCAAUGACGUGUACCUGAAGAAUAAGCAUCGGCUAACUCCGUGCCAGCAGCCGCGGUAAGACGGAGGAUGCAAGUGUUAUCCGGAAUCACUGGGCGUAAAGCGUCUGUAGGUGGUUUAAUAAGUCGACUGUUAAAUCUUGAGGCUUAACCUCAAAAUCGCAUUCGAAACUAUUAGACUUGAGUAUAGUAGAGGUAAAGGGAAUUUCCAGUGGAGCGGUGAAAUGCGUAGAUAUUGGAAAGAACACCGAUGGCGAAGGCACUUUACUGGGCUAUUACUGACACUCAGAGACGAAAGCUAGGGUAGCAAAUGGGAUUAGAUACCCCAGUAGUCCUAGCCGUAAACAAUGGAUACUAGAUGUUGGACAGAUCGACCUGUGCAGUAUCAAAGCUANCGCGUUAAGUAUCCCGCCUGGGAAGUAUGCUCGCAAGAGUGAANCUCAAAAGGAAUUNGACGGGGGGCC
Molecule: ribosomal RNA, 876 nt
Filed under: uncultured bacterium
Lineage: Bacteria
Description: bacterial SSU rRNA
Rfam family: Bacterial small subunit ribosomal RNA
Source: RNAcentral